CCCAACCGCAAAGCGGAAGGGAAAACAUGUUUCAGCCCAGCACACCACCUACAGUAGCAGUAUGGUAGAUCUGCACCUUUUGGCUUUUGGCAAUGCUCUACGCUCUGCAUCAACUGCGCUGAUAUGAGGGUCCGUAGUUCUAGUUUUUUUUUAAAAAGUUUUCAGAAGAGCCUCGAGCUCCAUUUCCCCCCGUCUCCUCCCCAAGCGGCCAAGCCAAUGGUGGUUCUGAGGCAGCCGCCGAACACGAAGGGCACGCCCAAGGAGGCCGCUCCUCGUCGCCUGCCAACUCCGGUCAGCUCAUUCCACUUGCCCGAAUGCAUUGGCCUCCGCUUGUUCGCAGCCUCGUUUGGUGGCGUCGCCUGGCCGGUUUGCAUUUUGUCCCCCGGCAUGUCGGCGGCGACAGCGCAGUGCCAGAUGCCAGUGAUGAACGAGAAGGGUUAUCAUUGAUCCAGUGUCGAAAAACUGGAAGGGAUACCAGUAAUUCAGCGUCGAACUCGAACAAUAGCAAACAGGUAGGUAGCACCGGUGAAUGUAAGCAUUUGUUAACGAUUAUGAAGUCUCUUAUUUGGUGUCAGCGUGCCAGGUGCCGGAGAACAUGUUGUUGCUUGAUGUCUUCAUAUGCAUGUUCCUGUGGCUGUGCCAUACGCGUUGUGAUAAUUGGGCAAUGCUUACUAGGAGUGGGUUGCAACACGGCAUUGCAGAUGCAAAAGGGUGACCAUACUUUCACGUUC
This is a long non-coding RNA of Panicum virgatum (switchgrass), 731 nucleotides long. RefSeq lists it as uncharacterized. The record is from RefSeq and is a predicted model, not a curated record. Lineage: Eukaryota; Viridiplantae; Streptophyta; Magnoliopsida; Poales; Poaceae. The transcript is spliced from 2 exons.